AUAUGUGCAGCCGUCAUCCCCCACUUCCUCUUCACCCUCUAGCCGCCACCCUCUCCUUCUCCUCCAUUCUCCGACGCUGUCACCUCUCCAAUCGAUAGUCGCCAUAGCCACCCCAUAAUCAACGUCGUGGGCCUUCAAUGGAGUCGUGUAUUGCCGCCGCUGUCUGAUACAUCGAAGUUGUGAACCGCUGGGGGCCGACGAACACCGUUGCUCCAUUAACCGGUGCUGCUGAAGCGCUCUUCUCCGUCUUCUUCUGCCACUGCGGUCGCCGAUGUCGUCGUUAUGGGCGACUGUUACGGCUAACGCUGUUCCCCGACUACCUCAUUUCCUUCCCGUCUAGUAGUUGUUGCUACCGAUGUCGAGUGAUACCACUGAUUACUGCCGAUGCCGCCACUCCAAGUCACCGCUCUUGUUUUCGUUAUAGACCAAACCGCCACCUGCUGCCAUUGUCCCGUCGCCACAGCCACCGUGGAAGUUCGGGAAUCUGUCAACCAACAGUUGGAGUUUCAUCCGCGGGACUUCAGAAAUGUCAGGUACUUCUGAUGAACGCAGGAAGGAGAAGGCGUGAUCGUGCACCUCCUUAUAUUUUCAUGAUUGUAUUCUGGGGAUACUCUGAUACCUAAAAAUUUUUGAAAACAAAUUGUAAUAUCUUAAUGGUUUUCAAAUGUUUUAAAAAAGUUUUAAAUUGGCUUGAA
This is a long non-coding RNA of Lactuca sativa (garden lettuce), 695 nucleotides long. RefSeq lists it as uncharacterized. The record is from RefSeq and is a predicted model, not a curated record. Lineage: Eukaryota; Viridiplantae; Streptophyta; Magnoliopsida; Asterales; Asteraceae.